This 722-nucleotide long non-coding RNA is filed under the name Panax ginseng (ginseng). Its description in RNAcentral is "long non-coding RNA (PGIN_LNC004863)". Lineage: Eukaryota; Viridiplantae; Streptophyta; Magnoliopsida; Apiales; Araliaceae. The record is from RNAcentral.
AAUUUGGUUCGGGAAAUUUCUUUCAAUGAACACUUAGAGUUUUCAUAAACAUUAGUCUAGCUGAAUCGAAUAACAUAGACUCAUAUCGAUAAUUCAGUUCAAUAGAAUUAUUUAAGUAUAGACAAACCCCGUUGGCAAAUUAAAAUUUUUGAAAACAUUUUUCGAGAAUGACGUCAUGAUGUCGUACCGUAUCUACAGUCCGUUGAGGAUUCCGUCAUUUGGUGAUUUUAUCAUACUACAUCAUACCAUAGUGGGCUGACGAUCCUGAGAUCACAUCCAACACUAAGUAAUACUGCAUUGAUGACUCCAUCAUUUUUUUAUCAUCUCUGUACCAGGUUGCAUGGUACAUAGGUGAUAAAUAAAAAUAACUUUUGACAUUUCAAAUCAUCUGCGUCUAGCCGAAAUAAGUAGCAUAGACUAUACUUUAAACCGUUUCAAAAAUGAUUACGAGUCUACAUUUUUAUUUUCAAAAGCACAUAGUGCGUAUUUAGCUUGAUGUCAAAAAUUCGAAGUUUAGCAUAGCUAGGAGUUUAGGAAAACCUAACACCUUUACUAAUAAUCAUUUGCUUAACAAUCUAUCUGUUCCUAUAAUCCUCAAUACUUCUUUCACACAUAACUAUACCCAGUUCGUCAACUUACCACACUUAUGAGUUCAGGAACUUACCACAAUCAUAUGAGUUUAAGAACUUUCCUAGACAAACCUUUGGCGUCCAUUCGCUGAG